This 164-nucleotide ribosomal RNA is filed under the name uncultured bacterium. RNAcentral describes it as "partial 16S rRNA". It matches the Rfam family "Bacterial small subunit ribosomal RNA", at positions 355 to 511 of the family's 1533-position model. The record is from RNAcentral.
UAGGGAAUCUUCCACAAUGGACGCAAGUCUGAUGGAGCAACGCCGCGUGAGUGAAGAAGGUCUUCGGAUCGUAAAACUCUGUUGUUAGAGAAGAACAUGCGAGAGAGUAACUGUUCUUGUAUUGACGGUAUCUAACCAGAAAGCCACGGCUAACUACGCGCCAG